RNAcentral lists this ribosomal RNA (441 nucleotides) under uncultured bacterium. RNAcentral describes it as "partial 16S ribosomal RNA". It matches the Rfam family "Bacterial small subunit ribosomal RNA", at positions 338 to 795 of the family's 1533-position model. The record is from RNAcentral.
CCUACGGGUGGCAGCAGUGGGGAAUAUUGCACAAUGGGGGAAACCCUGAUGCAGCGACGCCGCGUGAGUGAAGAAGGAUUUCGGUAUGUAAAGCUCUAUCAGCAGGGAAGAAAAUGACGGUACCUGACUAAGAAUCACCGGCUAAAUACGUGCCAGCAGCCGCGGUAAUACGUAGGGGACAAGAGUUAUCCGGAUUUACUGGGUGUAAAGGGGGCGUAGGUGGGGUGGUAAGCAAGAAGGGAAAACCCGGGGGUCAACCCCGCGGAUUGCUUUUGAAACUAUCAGGCUGGAGUGCUGGAGGGGUAAGCGGAAUUCCUAGUGUAGCGGUGAAAUGCGUAGAUAUUAGGAGGAACACCGGUGGCGAAGGCGGCUUACUGGACAGAAACUGACACUGAGGCUCGAAAGCGUGGGGAGCAAACAGGAUUAGAUACCCCAGUAGUC